RNAcentral lists this long non-coding RNA (1196 nucleotides) under Heterocephalus glaber (naked mole-rat). RNAcentral's name for it is "lncRNA (ENSHGLG00100047576.1)". The record is from RNAcentral. Lineage: Eukaryota; Metazoa; Chordata; Mammalia; Rodentia; Bathyergidae.
CAGUAAGGAAAGGAGGGGGGACUGUGGUUUCAUGGGGAAGGAAAUAAGAAGAGUUGGAUUUAAGUCAAGAUGAAAAAACUAUAUUGAAGUGGGUGCCUGAAGACUUCAAUGGUAUAUAUAACAAAAUGUCUGAUCUCCAACGGAAAUGAAUUAGGGCCAUAAGUGUUUAUGGUUUGUUAUCUGUGUUGGUGAAGUUGAGGUGAAUAAAGCAGCAUAUAUGAAUACUCUCCAGCUAUCUGUUACACCCUGUCAACUAAAAUGUCUAGAGGGAACACUCUGGUGUGAGGCUCUUCACCAUGGUCCAGACCAUGACUUCUGAAGCUGCAGGAAAAUAAGGAGACUGAGGAAUGCCAAGAUUAUAGGUAAAUCAGAAAAGCUCCUGAAAUAAUAGACACAUCGAAAAGAAUAUGGAUAAUGGAAGAUAUGCUGGACUUGACAUCAAAUCAGAAGACCAGAAUUUGAAGGUUAAAUGAGGUUGAAAAUUGCUCCUGUGGGUCCCUGCCAGAGAGAUCAGACAGCCAACAUCUCGGACAGCCCAUGGGGUUGCUGAAAGGCAAGACUGGAGAAGGCCCCACAUGGCCCACCUCUCCUUGUUCCCAGAGCUGCAGUGCCCACCCUGUAGCAUCUGUCACCUCUUCUGGAUCCCUUCCUGUCUCUCCAUCCUGAGUUCUUCCCGGAGAGGCAGUGUGAGGAGUACCAACCUGGACCCUGCUGCCGAAGGAAUGCAAAUCCUGACUCUGCCCUUUGCAGCAUAGCCUUGGACAAGCUGAGGACCUGCCCCUUCCCUGCCUCAUCCUCCUCUAUAAACUGAGGAUAGUAACAGCACACCUCACCCCGUCACAAGGAUUAAAUGAGUCAAUAUGUACCUAGGGCUGGGAGGCUGCCUCGAAUAGAGCAAGGGUGAAGCAAAUGCGAUUAGCCAUUAUCACAAUAGCAGCCUUCCUGGAUCUCUCUCUCCUCUGAACACCAUACUCUCCCCACAACACACACACACUCUAGAGUUCUAAAAGGGCUGAGUUUUGUUGCACUUCCAUGCAACUUCCUCUGAAAAGGACUGAUCUUUGAAAUGCUAAGGAUUAUCCUCAGUAUUGGUGAUUAUGAUUCCUUUUUUUUCCCUCAGCACUAUGGGUUAAACCCAGGGCCUUCACACUGAGCUACAUCCCCAGCCUUCUUUUUAUUUUCCAUCUUGACACAGG